This 396-nucleotide ribosomal RNA is filed under the name uncultured bacterium. Its description in RNAcentral is "partial 16S ribosomal RNA". It matches the Rfam family "Bacterial small subunit ribosomal RNA", at positions 523 to 918 of the family's 1533-position model. The record is from RNAcentral.
AUACGUAGGUGGCAAGCGUUGUCCGGAAUUAUUGGGCGUAAAGCGCAUGUAGGCGGUGCCUUAAGUCUGUCGUGAAACUGCGGGGCUUAGCCCCGUAUGGCGAUGGAAACUGGGUUACUUGAGUGCAGGAGAGGAAAGGGGAACUCCCAGUGUAGCGGUGAAAUGCGUAGAUAUUGGGAAGAACACCGGUGGCGAAGGCGCCUUUCUGGACUGUGUCUGACGCUGAGAUGCGAAAGCCAGGGUAGCGAACGGGAUUAGAUACCCCGGUAGUCCUGGCCGUAAACGAUGGGUACUAGGUGUGGGAGGUAUCGACCCCUUCCGUGCCGGAGUUAACGCAAUAAGUACCCCGCCUGGGGAGUACGGCCGCAAGGCUUAAACUCAAAUGAAUUGACGGGG